Molecule: ribosomal RNA, 253 nt
Filed under: uncultured bacterium
Lineage: Bacteria
Description: partial 16S ribosomal RNA
Rfam family: Bacterial small subunit ribosomal RNA
Source: RNAcentral
UACGGAGGGUGCGAGCGUUGUCCGGAUUCAUUGGGUUUAAAGGGUGCGUAGGCGGCCGAAUAAGUCAGGGGUGAAAUACCGCGGCUCAACCGCGGGGCUGCCCCUGAUACUGCUCGGCUUGGCUGCCGGAAGGGCAUGCGGAAUUUGCGAUGUAGCGGUGAAAUGCAUAGAUACCGCAAGGAACGCCGGAGGCGAAGGCGGCGUGCUAGCCGGCCAGCGACGCUGAUGCACGAAAGCGCGGGUAGCGAACAGG